Centruroides sculpturatus (bark scorpion) is the source of this 277-nucleotide long non-coding RNA. RefSeq lists it as uncharacterized. The transcript is spliced from 3 exons. The record is from RefSeq and is a predicted model, not a curated record. NCBI's taxonomy places the organism in Eukaryota, Metazoa, Arthropoda, Arachnida, Scorpiones, Buthidae.
AAAAACAUUUCAUAAGAAUCCAAUCUUUUUCCUUUGUUACCGUAGUUAACAAACAUGAUCCAUCCAAAGUAUCAACAUAACGAAGACAAGUUUUGUGCUCUUUAAAAAAAAGAAAGGGAGGAAGGACUAUGAACUGGAUGAGUCAGACAAAUUAUAGGGUUCAUUCUACACAUUGGUUUAUUUCCAUAUCUAAUGAUCUAUGCCUAGCAUUACUGGCUGAAUCGCUUUCUCGGGUUGCUUCGUUAUACCGUACAAUAGAAGAAUAACGCAUUUCCAC